This 532-nucleotide ribosomal RNA is filed under the name uncultured bacterium. Its description in RNAcentral is "bacterial SSU rRNA". It matches the Rfam family "Bacterial small subunit ribosomal RNA", at positions 8 to 524 of the family's 1533-position model. The record is from RNAcentral.
AGAGUUUGAUCCUGGCUCAGAAUCAACGCUGGCGGCGUGCCUAACACAUGCAAGUCGAACGCGGUUAUCCCGCAAGGGAUGACUGAGUGGCGAACGGGUGAGUAACACGUGGGUGACCUACCUUCGAGUGGGGGAUAACGUCCCGAAAGGGACGCUAAUACCGCAUAACAUCCUGCUCUUGAACGAGCGGAGAUCAAAGCCGGGGAUCGCAAGACCUGGCGCUUGUUGAGGGGCCCGCGUCUGAUUAGCUAGUUGGUGAGGUAACGGCUCACCAAGGCGACGAUCAGUAUCCGGCCUGAGAGGGCGGACGGACACACUGGGACUGAGACACGGCCCAGACUCCUACGGGAGGCAGCAGUGGGGAAUUGUUCGCAAUGGGCGCAAGCCUGACGACGCAACGCCGCGUGAAGGAUGAAAUCCCUCGGGAUGUAAACUUCGCAAGAACGGGAAGAAUAAGUAGGGGACAAUACCCCCUAUGAUGACGGUACCGUUUGUAAGCUCCGGCUAACUCCGUGCCAGCAGCCGCGGUAAA